GACGAACGCUGGCGGCGUGCUUAACACAUGCAAGUCGAACGGAGCACCCUUGACUGAGGUUUCGGCCAAAUGAUAGGAAUGCUUAGUGGCGGACUGGUGAGUAACGCGUGAGGAACCUGCCUUCCAGAGGGGGACAACAGUUGGAAACGACUGCUAAUACCGCAUGACGCAUGACCGGGGCAUCCCGGGCAUGUCAAAGAUUUUAUCGCUGGAAGAUGGCCUCGCGUCUGAUUAGCUAGAUGGUGGGGUAACGGCCCACCAUGGCGACGAUCAGUAGCCGGACUGAGAGGUUGACCGGCCACAUUGGGACUGAGAUACGGCCCAGACUCCUACGGGAGGCAGCAGUGGGGAAUAUUGGGCAAUGGACGCAAGUCUGACCCAGCAACGCCGCGUGAA
Molecule: ribosomal RNA, 396 nt
Filed under: uncultured bacterium
Lineage: Bacteria
Description: bacterial SSU rRNA
Rfam family: Bacterial small subunit ribosomal RNA
Source: RNAcentral